This 1143-nucleotide long non-coding RNA is filed under the name Rattus norvegicus (Norway rat). RNAcentral's name for it is "long non-coding RNA NONRATT003546". The record is from RNAcentral. Lineage: Eukaryota; Metazoa; Chordata; Mammalia; Rodentia; Muridae.
UUGUUCCCAGCACAUUACUCUCCAUUUCACCUAAACUUGUGAACUAGUCCUUACAUCUGACAGGAACCUGCAUCUUGCGUAUUGAACUGAAAUGGACUUAACAGCUUCUUUCCACAGGCCUCCUUCGGUGGUAGCUGUCCCUUGUAUGGUGCGGUUGCACUCAAUGGCACCUAUCUGGCCUUGUCACAUCCCUCAGCCUCUUCCCUCUGCUACUUUGUGGCAGGAGCUUCAGGCAUCCUGGCGCUCUACUGCCUUCUCCUCCUCUUCUUCUGGGUCUACAGCAGCUGCAUCGAGGACUCCCAGAGGUGAUUGCCCUACUGAUAAUGAGAGGCCUAGGUGAAUGAGUCCCACCUCAGCCAUAAAACUUGUUUUCUCUUCCUCAGAGGUUCUAUAGGGCUCCGAAUUGCUUUGGUCAUCUCAGCUAUAGCCAUCUUCCUGAUCUUAGUGUCUGCCUGUAUACUUCGAUUUGGCACCAAUUCUUUCUGCAAUUCCAUCAUCUCCUUGAAUCAUACAAUUAGCUGCUCUGAAGCCCAGAAAAUCUCAUGGAAACCUCCAGGAACUGCUGUGCAGUUUUACUCCAACCUACACAAUGCUGAAGUGAGACAAAGGGAUAUGUUAAGAUUAAGCAACUGUAGUUUGAGUGUUCACCAUGUAAUAUGUGCUUGGGUGUACUUCAGUCACAAGCUCAAAGUAGCUAUGGGACUUGUCACCUUAAUCUGAUCAGACAAUGUUGUGUGGGUAGGCCUGGAUUGGAGAUGGCUUCCCUCCUCAUACUCCUGUUCUCUCUCACAGACCUCUUCUUGGGUGAAUCUGAUAUUGUGGUGUCUGGCCUUGAUGCUCCAGGUCAUGCAGUGCAAGUUUCAAGCGACACCAUACCAGCCCCAGGAGAGGGGUGACCCAGAGUGGAGCUCUGAGACUGAUGCUCUUGUUGGGCACCGCCAGUCUCACUCCUGAAGAAUAUCGAGUGCUUUCUGCAACCAGAACCUCCAAGCCCAAUUGCUUUUAAUCUUCUUGUCUCUGUACAGCCCUGUUUAUAUUGGAAACCUCAGUUUUCCCUCCAGGAGGGAAACAUUCGAAUAGGCCACUUCUGCUUUUUCUCCUUAACUUUUUUGUACCAAAAUAAUAUAUUACUUUUCUUCAUCA